RNAcentral lists this ribosomal RNA (582 nucleotides) under uncultured bacterium. Its description in RNAcentral is "partial 16S ribosomal RNA". It matches the Rfam family "Bacterial small subunit ribosomal RNA", at positions 355 to 1375 of the family's 1533-position model. The record is from RNAcentral.
UGGGGAAUUUUGGACAAUGGGCGAAAGCCUGAUCCAGCAAUGCCGCGUGUGUGAAGAAGGCCUUCGGGUUGUAAAGCACUUUUGUCCGGAAAGAAAUCCUUGGCUCUAAUACAGUCGGGGGAUGACGGUACCGGAAGAAUAAGCACCGGCUAACUACGUGCCAGCAGCCGCGGUAAUACGUAGGGUGCAAGCGUUAAUCGGAAUUACUGGGCGUAAAGCGUGCGCAGGCGGUUUGCUAAGACCGAUGUGAAAUCCCCGGGCUCAACCUGGGAACUGCAUUGGUGACUGGCAGGCUAGAGUAUGGCAGAGGGGGGUAGAAUUCCACGUGUAGCAGUGAAAUGCGUAGAGAUGUGGAGGAAUACCGAUGGCGAAGGCAGCCCCCUGGGCCAAUACUGACGCUCAUGCACGAAAGCGUGGGGAGCAAACAGGAUUAGAUACCCUGGUAGUCCACGCCCUAAACGAUGUCAACUAGUUGUUGGGGAUUCAUUCCUUAGUAACGUAGCUAACGCGUGAAGUUGACCGCCUGGGGAGUACGGUCGCAAGAUUAAACUCAAGGAAUUGACGGGGUCAUAGCUGUUUCCU